Molecule: ribosomal RNA, 497 nt
Filed under: uncultured bacterium
Lineage: Bacteria
Description: partial 16S ribosomal RNA
Rfam family: Bacterial small subunit ribosomal RNA
Source: RNAcentral
GACGAACGCUGGCGGCGUGCCUAAUACAUGCAAGUUGAGCGCUGAAGGUUGGUACUUGUACCAACUGGAUGAGCAGCGAACGGGUGAGUAACGCGUGGGGAAUCUGCCUUUGAGCGGGGGACAACAUUUGGAAACGAAUGCUAAUACCGCAUAAAAACUUUAAACACAAGUUUUAAGUUUGAAAGAUGCAAUUGCAUCACUCAAAGAUUAUCCCGCGUUGUAUUAGCUAGUUGGUGAGGUAAAGGCUCACCAAGGCGAUGAUACAUAGCCGACCUGAGAGGGUGAUCGGCCACAUUGGGACUGGGACACGGCCCAAACUCCUACGGGAGGCAGCAGUAGGGAAUCUUCGGCAAUGGACGAAAGUCUGACCGAGCAACGCCGCGUGAGUGAAGAAGGUUUUCGGAUCGUAAAACUCUGUUGGUAGAGAAGAACGUUGGUGAGAGUGGAAAGCUCAUCAAGUGACGGUAACUACCCAGAAAGGGACGGCUAACUACGUG